UACGUAGGGUGCAAGCGUUAAUCGGAAUUACUGGGCGUAAAGCGUGCGCAGGCGGUUAUGCAAGACAGAUGUGAAAUCCCCGGGCUCAACCUUUGAAAGCCGGUGGAUACUGUGAGGCUAGAGUACGGAAGAGGCGAGUGGAAUUCCUGGUGUAGCGGUGGAAUGCGCAGAUAUCAGGAGGAACACCAAUAGCGAAGGCAGCUCGCUGGGACGUUACUGACACUGAGGCGCGAAAGCGUGGGGAGCGAACAGG
RNAcentral lists this ribosomal RNA (253 nucleotides) under uncultured bacterium. RNAcentral describes it as "partial 16S ribosomal RNA". It matches the Rfam family "Bacterial small subunit ribosomal RNA", at positions 524 to 776 of the family's 1533-position model. The record is from RNAcentral.